UUGGAGGGCAAGUCUGGUGCCAGCAGCCGCGGUAAUUCCAGCUCCAAUAGCGUAUAUUAAAGUUGUUGCAGUUAAAAAGCUCGUAGUUGAAUUUCGGGAUUGACGUGAUGGUCAUGCCUUAAGGGGUAUGAACUGUUACUGUUGGUUUCUCACCUUCUGGAGAAACUUGAUGUCCUUUAUUGGGUGUCUUGCGGAUCCAGGACCUUUACCUUGAAAAAAUUAGAGUGUUUAAAGCAGGCAUUUUUGCUCGAAUACAUUAGCAUGGAAUAAUAGAAUAGGACGGCAUGGUUCUAUUUUGUUGGUUUCUAGGAUCACCGUAAUGAUUAAUAGGGAUAGUUGGGGGCAUUAGUAUUCAAUUGUCAGAGGUGAAAUUCUUGGAUUUAUUGAAGACUAACUACUGCGAAAGCAUUUGCCAAGGAUGUUUUCAUUAAUCAAGAACGAAAGUUAGGGGAUCGAAGACGAUCAGAUACCGUCGUAGUCUUAACCAUAAACUAUGCCGACUAGGAAUCAGACGAUGUUAAUUUUUUAAUGACUCGUUUGGCACCUUACGGGAAACCAAAGUGUUUGGGUUC
Molecule: ribosomal RNA, 572 nt
Filed under: uncultured Glomeromycotina
Lineage: Eukaryota; Fungi; Glomeromycota
Description: SSU rRNA
Rfam family: Eukaryotic small subunit ribosomal RNA
Source: RNAcentral